Molecule: ribosomal RNA, 253 nt
Filed under: uncultured bacterium
Lineage: Bacteria
Description: partial 16S ribosomal RNA
Rfam family: Bacterial small subunit ribosomal RNA
Source: RNAcentral
UACGAAGGGGGCUAGCGUUGUUCGGAAUCACUGGGCGUAAAGGGCGCGUAGGCGGCCGAUCAAGUCGGGGGUGAAAGCCUGUGGCUUAACCACAGAAUGGCCUUCGAUACUGUUUGGCUUGAGACCGGAAGAGGUUAGUGGAACUGCGAGUGUAGAGGUGAAAUUCGUAGAUAUUCGCAAGAACACCAGUGGCGAAGGCGGCUUACUGGUCCGGUUCUGACGCUGAGGCGCGAAAGCGUGGGGAGCAAACAGG